Molecule: ribosomal RNA, 275 nt
Filed under: uncultured Planctomyces sp.
Lineage: Bacteria; Pseudomonadati; Planctomycetota; Planctomycetia; Planctomycetales; Planctomycetaceae
Description: partial 16S ribosomal RNA
Rfam family: Bacterial small subunit ribosomal RNA
Source: RNAcentral
CCUACGGGAGGCUGCAGUCGAGGAUCUUCGGCAAUGGGCGCAAGCCUGACCGAGCGACGCCGCGUGCGGGAUGAAGGCCUUCGGGUUGUAAACCGCUGUCAGGGGGGAUGAAAUCACAGUGGGUACUCCCAUUGUGUUGACAGAGCCCCAGAGGAAGCGCGGGCUAAGUUCGUGCCAGCAGCCGCGGUAAUACGAACUGCGCGAACGUUAUUCGGAAUCACUGGGCUUACAGGGUGCGUAGGCGGCGGAGAAAGUAGGGUGUGAAAUGCCUUGGC